Molecule: ribosomal RNA, 253 nt
Filed under: uncultured bacterium
Lineage: Bacteria
Description: partial 16S ribosomal RNA
Rfam family: Bacterial small subunit ribosomal RNA
Source: RNAcentral
UACGUAGGCAGCGAGCGUUGUUCGGAGUUACUGGGCGUAAAGGGUGCGUAGGCGGUCCCUUAAGUUCGGUGUGAAAUCUCCCGGCUCAACUGGGAGGGUGCGCCGGAAACUGAGGGACUAGAGUGCGGGAGGGGAGAGCGGAAUUCCUGGUGUAGCGGUGAAAUGCGUAGAUAUCAGGAGGAACACCGGUGGUGCAGACGGCUCUCUGGACCGUAACUGACGCUGAGGCACGAAAGCGUGGGUAGCAAACAGG